AGAAGGGGAGGACGAAGAGAGCAAAGGGGGGAAGGGAAGCCCCUCUUUCCCAGCGUGUGCAGCAGGCAGCCCCCACUGGACAGCUCCUGCUCCGCUUUACAGUCGCACCCCAACCCCAUCAGCUCUCCUCGGAGCCAGGCAGGGUGUCAGAGACCGGAAAAGGUUGAUCUCUGGAGACAUUUUGGGAUGCAGGUGUGUGGGGAGGUGGGGCAGGUCGGGCCUUGCUUUGGCCAGGCAGUGCCCUGCUCUUCCACCACACCCCCCAGACCAGCCCUAGAGCAUCCCAGCCUGGCAGAGCUGUCCAGCACUGGCACACCAGAGGCUGCCCCAGUCCUCCCUAACCCAGCUCCUGAGUCACCGAGUGACCAGAAGUCCCACAUAGGGGGAGGGUCCACGGAGGCCCUGGAGUUUAGAAGGCUGACCACAAGGUGACCACGUGUCUGACCCUGCUUGCUCGUGGAGUCUACACUGGAAUCCAGCAGUUGGUACCUGGCCUGCAAUUUAGGAGAUGCCAGAUGAUCCCACUGAGGGAGACUUUGGCCAAGGAGUCCUGGCAGAGACUGGGCAAGGUGCAGAGAGC
This is a long non-coding RNA of Corvus hawaiiensis (hawaiian crow), 580 nucleotides long. RefSeq lists it as uncharacterized. The record is from RefSeq and is a predicted model, not a curated record. Lineage: Eukaryota; Metazoa; Chordata; Aves; Passeriformes; Corvidae. The transcript is spliced from 3 exons.